Molecule: transfer RNA, 71 nt
Filed under: Cricetulus griseus (Chinese hamster)
Lineage: Eukaryota; Metazoa; Chordata; Mammalia; Rodentia; Cricetidae
Rfam family: tRNA
About the family: Transfer RNA (tRNA) molecules are approximately 80 nucleotides in length. Their secondary structure includes four short double-helical elements and three loops (D, anti-codon, and T loops).
Source: Rfam by way of RNAcentral
GUGGGUGUGACUCAACUGAUAGAGUGCCUGCCUGGGAUGUAGGAAGCCCUGAGUUUCAUCUCAGCACUACA